This 4356-nucleotide ribosomal RNA is filed under the name Triticum aestivum (bread wheat). Its description in RNAcentral is "partial small subunit ribosomal RNA". The record is from RNAcentral. Lineage: Eukaryota; Viridiplantae; Streptophyta; Magnoliopsida; Poales; Poaceae.
AUGUCAGAGACGCAGUCGCAGUCUGUUGAUGGCACUGAACCUGUCACGCAACCGGAGGAUGUGCCUCUUCAGCUUCUCCUGGAGGACCAACUUAAGAGGAAGAAGCAAGAAGAUUUUGACAAGAAGAGGGUGGCCCGCCUUGAGAAAGGUUCUGAUGUUCCUGGAUCUGUUCAUGCGGCUGAGCUCACUGUUGAGGAAGACGUGCAGUGUGGCAGUGAUGGCACGGUUGUCCCUGUUAAGAAGAAAAUCAAGAAGACCGCUGCGAGGAAGCUAGUAGUUGGUGAAGUUACUCCUCGGAGGAGCCCACGUGUUUCAAGGCCUACAGAAGUUGUUGAAGAUGAAGGGCUAGGCCUUGGUGGUACGCCACGCCGUAGUCCUCGUGUGCUUGCCACUGCCGCGCCUACACCUUCUCCGCUUGGUGCUGGUGCAUCUGGUAAGGGGAAGAAAUGCGGCGUGAAGCGCAAGGUUCCACCUGCAAAGGUCAACAAGGGUGUGAAGAAGCAUUCUCAUGUUAAUCCAGAGGACAAGGAUGAUGCUGAUUUCAAUGCUGAUGAUGAGGACGACGACGAUGAUGAUGCUGCCGCUAAUCAGUAUCAGCUUGUGGAGCGGCCUGAGAGGAGGAGGAGAGGAGGCAAAGCACCCGAAGAAGGUGACCAAGGAGGAGGUGAGGCGAAACGUUUUACCAAGACGGUUCGCUGCUCACUAGGAGAGGUCAAGACGUGUGCGAAAAUGCUAACACCUAGGCACAAGACGAGGGUUAUCAAGGCUGUUUUUGGUUGUGUGUUUGACUUGAAGGUUGAUUCCAACAUUUCUCGUCCUUUGAUGGGCAACAUCUACACGAGGAUUGACCCUUCAACCAUGAUUUUGGACAUGGGUGAGGCGAACAAGGUUAUACGUAUUACAAGUGAUGCUAUUCACCAUCUCUUUGGGUUCCCUCAAGGUAAUCGUACCCCCCCUAGGCCCUCGAAUGAUGGUUUCGAUGAUGCUGUUAUGAGGUUGAAGGGCAAGCUUGGGUAUGCUAGGAGUGACAACAUCAAGACAAAGGAUUUGCGGAAUAUCCUCGCCGAACUUGUGAAGGAUGAGACGAAGGGUGAUCUUGCUCUGCAAGUGUUUUACCUUAUUGUUUUCAUGAAGGUGGUUAUCCCUGGAACAUCUACACGAAUGUCCAGGGAGGCAGCAAUGGCCGAGAACCUUGUGUUUGAGGAUAUGGCAGACAUGGACUACUGUCAGUUGGUUGUUGACGAUAUUCGGAGUGCCGUUGUUAGGUAUCAGCAAGGUACUAGCAGAGGAAAAGCUGUCACAGGCUGUGCCAUCGCGCCGCUUCUUAUGUAUCUGGACUGCCUUAUCAUUGGCAAGACGCCUAAUAUUGACUUGAGGACCCCUCGCAUCAAUUUCAUGGAUCAGGCCAAGCUUCUUGAGCUUGCUGCGGCUGACUUGGUCACGAAGGGUGAUGAUGACCCAGCCAACUGGGUGUUUGGGAGACUGCCUACACAGGCUGAGGUUGUGUUCUUUAGGGUUAUUGAACGUCAGGUUCUAACUAUGCCUCGUUCUGCCGGCCUAGAGAGUGGAACUUCCGCAAGAUUUGAAUUCUCCCGGGAUGUUAAUACCGCUGCCAAUGUUUCUCUGGUUAGGAUUGACAGUCUUCUUGAAACUGUUUGUGGGGAGUUGGCUCGUGUUCCUUCAACUGCUGAGCGUCUUAGUCGCGUUGAUGGGAUUCUUCCUCCCAGACACGGAUUUGAUGUUGAGUCUUCGAAGGAGGUCUUAUCUAUUGAAGCUAGAUUUCUUGAAGAGCUUCGUCAGAGCACUUCCCACCUCCGGACUAGCGUUGGGCUGUUCAAGGAAAUGCAGUAUGCUCGUUGCAAGCCUUUUGAAGAUGAGGCAAGUGUUGUUGUGAGACAGAUUCAGAGGCAGGAUUAUGUUCGUUCGGGUCGUGAAGGAGGCCACGUGGAGCAUACCAAAGAGGCUGUUGAUGAUGGGUUGAGGAGGAUGUUUUACCUGCGCAUGAAGCUGCUCCUGUGCAUGAGGCUUCCCCUGUGCAUGAACCUGCUCCCGCUAAAUGAUGAUGUUAGUGUUCCUCCAGAGAAGGUUGCAGACAAUUCCGUCUCAGGCACCGGCUGCUCCGACGGGGUGGACCUGACUGAACCUCAGUCGUCCAUUGGCGCUGAGGUUUCUGAUGCUGAGCAGGGCAAGACAACUGGAGACAUCAUUUUGGAGAAAGAUCCUGUUGAGUCUGCUGUUGAAACUGGUGGUAGUGCUGCUGCAAGCCCGGAGAAGUCUCCCGCAGCAGAGCCAUCAGUUGAUGUUGAUGCUGUACAGGCACAACCAAAAGUUUUUCUUGUUUCAGAUUCUCCAGUUGCUCCAGCUACUACUGGUGUCCUUCCCGACGAUGCUGCAACAUCUACUGGAGACGAUGAUGAAGAGAGCGAAAGCGAUAGCUAUGGAGAGGAGGUUGAUCAUUCCAAUAGCGACCUUGCUGUCGUCCGAAAGAAGGUUGAUGACUUUAAUUACAGUGUAACUAGGCUUAAGAAUAAUCGUUCCAAGAGAUCAACGAUUAUGUUCCAAAACAAGGAGUGUGAAGCUUCUGUUGAAGAUGUUGCAAUAUCUUUUGGUCCUCGUGGAAUGCUUCGAUCUAAUGUGGCUGAGUGCGCACUCUACUAUCUACGUGCGAAGUACCAGGGAUCGGAUAAACUCAUCCUCCCGUAUUGGGUUUGUGUAAGUCAACCAUAUAGUUUCAUGGGUGGUGUUGGUCAUUGGGUUUCAAUAUUUCUUGACAUGAAGAAUUCAAGGUUCCAGCUUCUCGACUCCAAUUAUGGACCAGAAGAUGAAUGUGCGGUACGCCUGUUUUGGCGAAUGACCGACAACAUCAAGAAGCUUUGGAAGGAUGCCAGCAACGACAGGGAGACACCCUUCAGUCCUCUUACCAUCGACCAUUUCGCUCUGGAUUGGAUUGAUGUGCCCGAGCAGCAAAACAAUAUCGACUGCGGAUUCUUCAUGCUUACGAAUAUUAAUUCGUAUCAUGACGAGGUUCUUGCAAAUUAUUCCCAUGAGAAUAUCGCGGAUAUCAGGAAGACGUGGUUGUACUCAAUCGCUUCUUCUAACCUGUUUGAGACAGACUUCCAAGCUCUGUUUGGCUACUACACAUUGGAUCCGUUGGACUUGACCAAUUACCACUACUCAUUCCUCGGGUCACAGGAAUACCAGCCUAGGGAGGAAUCGAUGGGUACAGCUCCGAUAGAAGAUGAUAGACCUCGGACCCUUAUUCCUUCCAAGUUGGGGAAGCAGGCUGGUGGUAUUCGUGGUACUCCAAAAAACCCUUGCUCCAGGAAGGCUGAUGUAGUCGAAGCAGCCGAAGCAGAAGUGAUUUCGUCCGAUGAUGAUUUUGAGAAGAUUGCUUACCCGAAGAAUGUUAAAUGUGCUGCUGGUACUGUUGCUGGUAUAGGUGGGAAGAAUGCUGUCAUCACCAGGAGGAAACCGGCAGUUGAGUCUGGCAACAUAACUUCCUCCAAGAGAGCAUCAAGAUUGCCUUUGAAGUGGCAUUCUCCUAUCGCUCCCCUGAAAAAAUACAGUUACCCUCAUCUAUCCGAGGCCCGGAACUUGAAAUAGACAAGCUACUGCAUGUUUACCAUCCCUGCGAAUGUGAUUGACCUCACAGGACAUGUCCUUUAUACGCUUUUCGGUGAAGGGCAGCAGAUGGAAGGAGACAUAAUGGAUUAUCUCAUAAAUUUGUGGAAGGAUAAGCCGGAGAUCUCUGGGAUAUUCACUAGUGCUGACAGGGUUGUACUUAGUCCCUACUUCAUACAGUUCCAAAGUUUGAUGCAAAAAAAUCUGCUGGUCUCCUCCCAAUGUUUGUUCGCAAGGAAGAACCUUCUUAACGCAAAGCUGGUUUUCUUGAUUCUAUUCAAGCCAAUUGGCACAAUGGCGCACUACAGUGUGUACGCGAUGAAUAGAUAUCGUGGGAGCAUUGACAUCCUUGAUUCACUUCCUUACGAUAAUAUGGAAACGUCGCGAACGAGUUUCCACGGGGACUAUCAAAAUAUCAUCAAGAGAUUAGUUGGGUUGCUCGAGGAGGUGUACGGCAAGGUUGCGUACAAAGCGAGCAAGCAUCCUAACUGGGUGACUAUUGCAAAGAGGCCGACCUUUAUCGAUGUUCCAAAGCAGAAGAAUAAUGAUUGUGGUUUCUUUGCCGUGAAGUUCUGCUGUUCAUAUGAUGGCGAUGAGAUUGUUGAAGAUUUUGGUGAUGUGGAAGCUGCUGCAGAUGACUGGAAGGCUGAGUUCAUGCACACUCUGAUUUUUAGCGAGAAGAAUGAAGUCAUGCGUUCAGAGCUCCCUAAAGAGAUCCAGUCCUUUGGCCCGUGA